This 253-nucleotide ribosomal RNA is filed under the name uncultured bacterium. Its description in RNAcentral is "partial 16S ribosomal RNA". It matches the Rfam family "Bacterial small subunit ribosomal RNA", at positions 524 to 776 of the family's 1533-position model. The record is from RNAcentral.
UACGUAGGGGGCAAGCGUUAUCCGGAUUUACUGGGUGUAAAGGGAGCGUAGACGGCAUAGCAAGUCUGAAGUGAAAGCCCGUGGCUCAACCGCGGAACUGCUUUGGAAGCUGUUAAGCUGGAGUACUGGAGAGGCAAGCGGAAUUCCUAGUGUAGCGGUGAAAUGCGUAGAUAUUAGGAGGAACACCAGUGGCGAAGGCAGCUUGCUGGACAGAGACUGACGUUGAGGCUCGAAAGCGUGGGGAGCAAACAGG